Anopheles moucheti is the source of this 5611-nucleotide RNA transcript. It is a transcript of the gene named epsin-1, with no coding region annotated. The transcript is spliced from 14 exons. The record is from RefSeq and is a predicted model, not a curated record. Lineage: Eukaryota; Metazoa; Arthropoda; Insecta; Diptera; Culicidae.
CAGAGUUUGGUUGCUGUCCCAGAGCGCAACGCACGAUUAAUAGCACCCCGUGUUUGUAGCUUAAAUUUAUAAAUUGAAGGAAUGUGUGUGUGUGCGUGAGUUGUUCGUUCAUGUGUUGUGCAUUGUGUGUAAAAAGAAAACAAAAUUUAGUUGAAAAUUGUUUUUUCGUAACCGUUCUGUGCCGAGGACUGUUUGGAAAUCUGGCGUGCGUCGCAUCGAAACCAAGCUGAUUGAGGCUUAACACAUCCCAGCCAGAGCUGUUGCCGAGACUGCCUGCUGUUGUGCUUAAAACACGUAUCGAAACGCUGCACACGUACCGAGUGUAGUGGUGCAGUGCAUACGAGUGGUAGCGAACCACAGCCACUGUAUAACGCAGUUAGCCAUCGUUUAAUGCUGAAUGUGUCACUCCGUACUACAUCCAUUAGCUGCUAGUGCUAGAAUCACCAUCGUUCCAUCGUCACCAACCUGCAUCAGGACAUUCGCGACGUGCAUUCUUACGUUCGUUUCACUGCUUUCCUUCGGCAUGCUGUAGUCCAGUGCCCCGACCCACAUGUACGAUCCGCCCGCAGUACCGUGCUUCAUUGUGUUAUAAAGCAAAACAGAACCCAAAAAAAAGCGUCAGACAGAUGCAUUAGCUUCUGUUUUAGUUUAAACAUUUUUUCAGUUUAAAAUCGUUCAUGUUCUGUUGUUAAGUUCUAGUUGUAUGGAAAAAUUGUUUUACCUUUUUCGUUUGUCUCCGUGUGGGUUUCGUGUUUCAUUUUUGUGUUUUUAACCGCACUAGUAGGAAGAUUGUUUUCUAUACAUUAUUCUAUGCGUGAAAACCGAAGGACUUUUGCCCAAUUGAACUGCAACAAGGUUAAUACGCCCACCUCCCGCAAACGUGCAAUAGAAGCGAUUGUACAAGUGUAUUGUGUAAAGUGUUUUGUUGAGAACGUGUGUCAGUGUUUAGUGUUUUUUUUUUAUUUAUUACAACGCCAUUUAUUACCACAGCUGGUCUCCAGUACAGUGCACCCAGCCGGGAGUUUAAGUUGCAGUUGGUCAAGCAGCCAGGAGAGCAAAGUUUGCCAAAAUGAGGAAAACCGACACACAAAUGAACGUAGCUGGUAUACGUCGUAACAUCAAAAACAUCGCCCACAACUACUCCGAUGCGCAGGUGAAGGUACGGGAGGCUACCUCGAACGAUCCAUGGGGCCCAUCGUCCACGAUCAUGGCGGAGAUUGCCGACCUCACGUACAACGUGGUGGCUUUUUCCGAAAUCAUGCAGAUGAUCUGGAAGCGCAUGAAUGACCACGGCAAAAACUGGCGACAUGUGUACAAGGCACUGUUGCUGUUGGAGUACCUUAUCAAGACUGGUACGGAGAAGGUGGCGCAGCAGUGUAAGGAAAAUAUCUACGCCAUCCAGACACUGAAGGAAUUCCAAUAUAUGGAAGAGGGCAAGGAUCAGGGCAUGCAUGUACGGGAGAAGGCGAAACAGCUUGUUUCACUGCUGAAGGAUGAUGAGCGGCUCAAGAAUGAGCGGGCCCGAGCGUUGAAGGCAAAGGAACGCUUUGCCCGAACGGCCAGCGGAUUCGGCAGCGAUGGUUCGAUCGAUGGCCCGACACAACGUGACCCAAGGCCACCGAACUGGGGCGAAGGUGAACCGAUUGCGGGUGCAGCAACGAGUGGUGUUGGAAAGCCGGUAUCAGAGAUUGAAUUCGUACGGCCGCAAACUGUCGGCGAAGAAGAAUUGCAGCUCCAGCUGGCAAUGGCCAUGUCUAGGGAAGAAGCCGAACAGGAGGAGCAAAAGCGUCGCAGUGAUGAUGUUCGGUUGCAGUUGGCACUUAGUCAAAGCGAACAGGACUUCAAGAAGGACAAUGACCCUAAGGAGGGUGGUAGUGCAUUAGUAGAUUUGUUGGACAUUUCUUUCGGAGCGGCCUCGAUUAGCAGUCCGUCGCAACAGCCGCUUGCCGGACCUUCGGGUACCGGUGGACCGAUUGAUCCUUGGGGCAUGCCCGUGGCAGGUGGAUCUCGUCCGACGACGUCGGAUCCCUGGUCAAGAACCUCAUCCCCACCGGCGGUAGUGGAUCCGUGGUUAAACACCGCUUCGGCUUUACCUUCGGCAGGACCAUCCAUCUCGAAACCACCGUUGCUGGGAGCAGAAGCAUGGCAACCACGCACCCAAUCGCCCUCGGUCACAUCCGGAUCGUCGGUUGAGGGAUGGCUGCAAAAUGGUGGAGGUGCUGGUGCGGGUGCAGGAGCCAUGAUGAUGAAUGGUGCCGGGUCUACGAACGGAAACCUAGAUCCUUGGUAUAACAAGACAAAUGCUGUUCCUCUCGGAGCUACUGCGCCUCCUCAGACAGGUGAUCCUUGGCAGGCAAAUAAACGAACAACGCCUGUGCCUAAUGCUGCUGCUGCUGGUGGUGAUCCGUGGCAGUCAAACGCAACUGCUACUAAACUUGAUCCAUGGGCUCCGGUGGGUAGUAAUUCUGCCACUGGAAGUGUCGGUGAUCUUGAAGCUACAUUUGGUGGUGGCAAUGGACCGCUCAUGAAUCGUCCUUCCCCUGUCGGUGCGAUCACUUCGCCGGUAUCGGAUCUAGAUGAGUUUGACAUAAUUACCAAGCGAGCCGCCAGCAACCACAGUAGCAGCAGUACCAACAACAAUAAUAACCAUAAUGCCGCUAGCAACAAUCUGAAUAACAAUAGUUCACUGCUUCUGGGUGACCUAGAUCCAUUAUCGUCCUCCGGAACGAACUCCAGCUCGCCUAGUAUGGGUGCGACGACGGUUGCAAAGAAGACACCCCAAUCGUUCCUUGGUGAAAACUCGGCACUCGUCAAUUUAGACAAUCUAAUCAAACCGAUGCCGAGCGGUGGCGCUGUUGCCGCAUCAACCAUCACAUCCGCGGCAUACAAUCCGUUCGGCGAUACCGGUGGAGCCGGGGCACCCGUACAAAAGAACCUAUUCCAACAGAAUCAACCUCAGGUUCCGUCCAUCAAUCAGUUGAAACAGUCCCCGUUUCCAGUAACACUUAAUCAGGAUCCUUGGGCACCGGUUUCAAACAUGACCGCAGCGCAACACGCCGCGUCCAGUAGCAAUGGAGCUUGGACACUGAAAUAAACGUCCCUUUUAACCGAGUGGAAUUACCGUGCGCGUGUAGAAUCACCAACGUUCCCAUUACCCUUUUACCAUUUCCUCCUUUUCCGCCUCACACAAACACACACAUUAUCCAAACCAGUACCUCCGAUUCCAUCUUUCCUGUAGGUAGUAAUUGAUCCGACCUCGUAACCUUCCUGGUACGCGAUUUUGGACCCCCAACGCUGUGGUGUGCUGUUUCCAUGGCCUGGUCGGGUGAUUGGUGAUUGGGGGCAAACUCUGUAGCAAAAAAACGUGCUCCUGUAACACACGCUUAUGCCUGUACGGUGACUGUAUGCUUUAUCCCGGGGUUUACCCAUGGCCAUCAGCAACUUUACACACUCAUCAUCAGAAACAAGAACAACCCAAGCUGCUGCCUCCUUCUGCUGCCUAUGUGUAUGUGUGUGUCUGUGUGUAUGUUCAAGCAUUUGUUACGUUUCCUUGUACAUCGUGUGCGCUGGUCAUCUGCCCGUGAACAUCAACUGAAUCUCUUGGACAACGCUCUGUUUAAUCCCGCUCGCUCAGUAUAACUGCCGCGUAUAUCGAAAGUGCUCGCUUCUGGCCAAUUUAAACAAUAAUAAUAGUGGGCCCUGGAUGAAUCCUCAGUCGUCGAAUCCAUUCCUAUCGUAACAAGUCACUGCAAGCAGAUGUACACGGCGCAAUGCGCCCGAUGCAGCACAGAUCCUUUCACGUUGGGACUAGAAAGGGGUGCUGGCGGAAGACCGGUGGAGGUAGAAAAGAAAGAGCAAGUUGUACGUAUGAAACAAAAGCAUGGUAGUAUAAAGGAAGGGACUGAGGAAAAACCAGGCACAGAAGAACACGCGCUGGAAAGCAUGCAAACUAACCAAACAUUGUUUUAAACGAGGGAACACAAGCGGCAAAUAAAUGAAACAGUAAGGCAAUACUACUAAAGAGAACAACCAAACAACACACUGGAAGUGAAGCAAACCGGCUAACAAGAAUAGUUUACAUCCAGCUAGGUCCUUACACCCAUCUCGCAACCAAACCAUUUACAUGUAAUUGAUACAUAAACGAAAGAACCUGGAAAGUGAAUACUUUUGAUUCAUUUACAUACACACAUAUACGAUAACUGUGCAACAGAAAUCGCAAUUUGGUUGGAGCCCGGAAAUAGGAAUUAGCCAGCAACUUGAACUUUAUAUACGUAAAGAAUAUUUGCUUGAUCAUCACACUACUUAACACAACGCCAUGAUUUUGCCCCGAUAGAAAGCAAUUCUACCAGUCGCCGAUGGUUUCCAUUUGCCGUGAUUUCAAACAGCAAAUGUUCUACAGUUUGGUGGAUGAAGUGGAAGUUACAUUGGACGUCGAUUAGUAAAUGUGGUAGCCAGGGGAAAGGCUAGAGUACGCAGGGAGGGAAGCAGCACCGGCUAAGCGAAUUCCGCGGACGGUAGGAAAAAUUUAAGCAAAUUAGUGGGAAAAUGCCUUAUUAUAGUUGAGAAACGAUGAACUUGGGAUGAGACUACGUUAGUAAGCUCUAAACAUUAAACUACUACUAAAUGAUAAAGAAGAAAACAAUGAUACCACAACACUAGUUCGAGAGGGAAGAAUACAGAAAAUCCGUUUUGGCAUCUGUUUGUUGUAUGUUUUGGUGUGUUUGAAAGCGACAAACACCGGAAGGCAAAACCGAUUUAAAAAGAGACAUUCUUUAAGUUCUAUGGGCACUCACAUUUAUGACGGGUUUCACACGUUACUAGCUCGAAGUAACUCUUCCUCAAAAGCAGUAACUCCUAUGUCUUUUGUCUAAAAUCCUUUAUAUGUAAUUCACGCGUUUGUUUGGUAGCCCUAGGGAAGUACGAGUGUACACAUUAUAAUUUAUUAAACCUGCUUCCUCGGAACAACAUCGGGCAAACUAUGUGAAAGACUACAGAAAUAUUGUCUUCUUUUGGCACUUUCGUACCUAAACUUAUUCGUCUACUGAUUUUCAAUUGAUAUUCAUCAAACUGUCACGAGUAUAACACCAGAUUGUGAUGAAGGUCGCAAUACUAUUUUUGCGGGUACGCCACAUUUUGCUGCUUUGUUCCUUCCGUUUCAUUGUUCUGUAAUGUAUUAUUUAUCGUAAGAUAGCGGAAAGAUCGGUUCAUUAUCGGAUGGGUUUUAGAUUUUAACUGUAGAAAGCAAUGCCGCGGGAUUUAUUUGUGACACAAAAGCUGACGGCGGCAAACACAAAUGAACGUUUUCUAAGCCACCAGAGCAGAGAGAUGAAACAUUUAUAGAGAAGAACAUGAGAAUCCAACGAAAAAUACCAGGGUUGAUGGAAUUAGAGAGGCGAUCGAAAGGACAUGAUGAUUAUGUGAGAAAACAGAACAAGCUUCAUCUUUAUAAACACGAUACAAAACAUUGUUUGUAUAGGAUAACGACAGGUAACUGAUACUAAAAAGCAAAAAUCAUAAAAAAAUUAUAUAUACAUGAGCAACUGAAAUUAUAUAUUUUUUAAACUCUGAAUAAAUCAUUAAUUUUCAAACUGCUGCUAUUGCGUUUUGGAAG